RNAcentral lists this ribosomal RNA (446 nucleotides) under uncultured bacterium. Its description in RNAcentral is "partial 16S ribosomal RNA". It matches the Rfam family "Bacterial small subunit ribosomal RNA", at positions 338 to 795 of the family's 1533-position model. The record is from RNAcentral.
CCUACGGGGAGCAGUAGUCGAGAAUCAUUCACAAUGGGGGAAACCCUGAUGGUGCGACGCCGCGUGGGGGAAUGAAGGUCUUCGGAUUGUAAACCCCUGUCAUGUGGGCGCAAAUUAAAAAGAUAGUACCACAAGAGGAAGCGACGGCUAACUCUGUGCCAGCAGCCGCGGUAAUACAGAGGUCUCAAGCGUUGUUCGGAAUCACUGGGCGUAAAGCGUGCGUAGGCUGUUUCGUAAGUCGUGUGUGAAAGGCGCGGGCUCAACCCGCGGACGGCACAUGAUACUGCGAGACUAGAGUAAUGGAGGGGGAACCGGAAUUCUCGGUGUAGCAGUGAAAUGCGGAGAUAUCGAGAGGAACACUCGUGGCGAAGGCGGGUUCCUGGACAUUAACUGACGCUGAGGCACGAAGGCCAGGGGAGCGAAAGGGAUUAGAUACCCGGGUAGUC